CAGGCUGCAACCCGCCUGCACGAAGUUGGAAUUGCUAGUAAUCGUGGAUCAGCAUGCCACGGUGAAUACGUUCCCGGGUCUUGUACACACCGCCCGUCACACCAUGGGAGUCGGUAACACCCGAAGUCAGUAGUCUAACCGCAAGGAGGACGCUGCCGAAGGUGGGAUUGACGACUGGGGUGAAGUCGUAACAAGGUACC
This 200-nucleotide ribosomal RNA is filed under the name uncultured bacterium. Its description in RNAcentral is "partial 16S ribosomal RNA". It matches the Rfam family "Bacterial small subunit ribosomal RNA", at positions 1301 to 1500 of the family's 1533-position model. The record is from RNAcentral.